UACGUAGGGGGCUAGCGUUGUCCGGAAUCAUUGGGCGUAAAGAGCGUGUAGGCGGUUUGGUAGGUCCGCUGUGAAAACUCGAGGCUCAACCUCGAGACGCCGGUGGAAACCAUCAGGCUAGAGUCCGGAAGAGGAGAGUGGAAUUCCUGGUGUAGCGGUGAAAUGCGCAGAUAUCAGGAAGAACACCCGUGGCUAAGGCGGCUCGCUGGAACGUUACUGACGCUGAGACGCGAAAGCGUGGGGAGCAAACAGG
RNAcentral lists this ribosomal RNA (253 nucleotides) under uncultured bacterium. RNAcentral's name for it is "partial 16S ribosomal RNA". It matches the Rfam family "Bacterial small subunit ribosomal RNA", at positions 524 to 776 of the family's 1533-position model. The record is from RNAcentral.